UUUACUUUUAAAAGUACAGUUGUGUUAAGGGCUCAUGAUAGUACAGAAGAUACAAACACUGAUAAGUAUGGGAUAGUGUGAAAGAGCAAGUCGGUUGUGGUGUGCCGGAACCGACGAUGAGGUAGGCCUGUAAAUAAAGAGGGCCCACCAAUAAGAAAUGUAUGAGAAAAAGGAGUUAAUAAAAGAGGAGUGGGUGGGAGGGUGAUGCAG
Pelobates cultripes (western spadefoot toad) is the source of this 210-nucleotide non-coding RNA. The record is from the annotation of a GenBank genome assembly. Lineage: Eukaryota; Metazoa; Chordata; Amphibia; Anura; Pelobatidae.